Molecule: ribosomal RNA, 429 nt
Filed under: Bacteroidota bacterium
Lineage: Bacteria; Pseudomonadati; Bacteroidota
Description: Bacteroidetes bacterium partial 16S ribosomal RNA
Rfam family: Bacterial small subunit ribosomal RNA
Source: RNAcentral
UAGGGAAUCUUCGGCAAUGGGGGGAACCCUGACCGAGCAACGCCGCGUGAGUGAAGAAGGUUUUCGGAUCGUAAAGCUCUGUUGUUAAGGAAGAACGAGUGUGAGAAUGGAAAGUUCAUACUGUGACGGUACUUAACCAGAAAGGGACGGCUAACUACGUGCCAGCAGCCGCGGUAAUACGUAGGUCCCGAGCGUUGUCCGGAUUUAUUGGGCGUAAAGCGAGCGCAGGCGGUUAGAAAAGUCUGAAGUGAAAGGCAGUGGCUCAACCAUUGUAGGCUUUGGAAACUGUUUAACUUGAGUGCAGAAGGUGAGAGUGGAAUUCCAUGUGUAGCGGUGAAAUGCGUAGAUAUAUGGAGGAACACCGGUGGCGAAAGCGGCUCUCUGGUCUGUAACUGACGCUGAGGCUCGAAAGCGUGGGGAGCGAACAGG